This 254-nucleotide ribosomal RNA is filed under the name uncultured bacterium. Its description in RNAcentral is "partial 16S ribosomal RNA". It matches the Rfam family "Bacterial small subunit ribosomal RNA", at positions 795 to 1052 of the family's 1533-position model. The record is from RNAcentral.
CCACGCCGUAAACGAUGAUGGCUGGCUGUAGGCGAUACACAGUCUGCGGCUGAGCGAAAGCAUUAAGCCAUCCACCUGGGGAGUACGGCCGCAAGGCUGAAACUCAAAGGAAUUGACGGGGGCCCGCACAAGCGGAGGAACAUGUGGUUUAAUUCGAUGAUACGCGAGGAACCUUACCCGGGCUGGAACGUAUAAGUAAGUAAGUGGAAACAUUUAUGCCAGCGAUGGACUUUUACGAGGUGCUGCAUGGUUGU